Molecule: non-coding RNA, 83 nt
Organism: Ochotona curzoniae (black-lipped pika)
Lineage: Eukaryota; Metazoa; Chordata; Mammalia; Lagomorpha; Ochotonidae
Source: the annotation of a RefSeq genome assembly
GUCAGGAUGGCCAAGUAGUCUAAGGCGCUGUGUUCAGAUCACAGUCUCUCCUAGAGGCGUGGGUUCGAAUCCCACUCCUGACA